CUACGGGUCGCACCAGUGAGGAAUAUUGGUCAAUGGACGAGAGUCUGAACCAGCCAUCCCGCGUGCAGGAUGACGGCCCUAUGGGUUGUAAACUGCUUUUCUAUACCAAGAAACCUGUCUACGUGUAGACAGUUGCCGGUAGUAUAGGAAUAAGCAUCGGCUAACUCCGUGCCAGCAGCCGCGGUAAUACGGAGGAUGCAAGCGUUAUCCGGAUUCAUUGGGUUUAAAGGGUGCGCAGGCGGGCUUGUAAGUCAGUGGUGAAAUGCUGCCGCUUAACGGUAGAACUGCCAUUGAUACUGCAAGUCUUGAAUAUGGUUGAGGUAGGCGGAAUGUGUUGUGUAGCGGUGAAAUGCAUAGAUAUGACACAGAACGCCGAUUGCGAAGGCAGCUUACUAAGCCAUAAUUGACGCUGAGGCACGAAAGCGUGGGGAGCGAACAGGAUUAGAUACCCGGGUAGUC
This 459-nucleotide ribosomal RNA is filed under the name uncultured bacterium. RNAcentral's name for it is "partial 16S ribosomal RNA". It matches the Rfam family "Bacterial small subunit ribosomal RNA", at positions 339 to 795 of the family's 1533-position model. The record is from RNAcentral.